CCCUUAGACGUUCUGGGCCGCACGCGCGCUACACUGACGAAGGCAACGAGCUUUCCUUUACCGAAAGGUACGGGUAAUCUUUUGAAACUUCGUCGUGCUGGGGAUAGAUCCUUGCAAUUUUUGAUCUUAAACGAGGAAUGCCUAGUAAGCGCAAGUCAUCAACUUGCGUUGAUUACGUCCCUGCCCUUUGUACACACCGCCCGUCGCUACUACCGAUUGAAUGGUUUAGUGAGGCCCUCGGAUCCGCGACUCGUUUGUGGAGAAGUUGGACAAACUCAGUCAUUUAGAGGAAGUAAAAGUCGUAACA
RNAcentral lists this ribosomal RNA (307 nucleotides) under uncultured eukaryote. Its description in RNAcentral is "partial 18S ribosomal RNA". It matches the Rfam family "Eukaryotic small subunit ribosomal RNA", at positions 1470 to 1796 of the family's 1831-position model. The record is from RNAcentral.